UACGGAGGGGGUUAGCGUUGUUCGGAAUGACUGGGCGUAAAGCGCGCGUAGGCGGACCGGAAAGUCGGGGGUGAAAUCCCGGGGCUCAACCCCGGAAUGGCCUUCGAAACUCCCGGUCUUGAGUUCGAGAGAGGUGAGUGGAAUUCCGAGUGUAGAGGUGAAAUUCGUAGAUAUUCGGAGGAACACCAGUGGCGAAGGCGGCUCACUGGCUCGACACUGACGCUGAGGUGCGAAAGCGUGGGGAGCAAACAGG
This 253-nucleotide ribosomal RNA is filed under the name uncultured bacterium. RNAcentral describes it as "partial 16S ribosomal RNA". It matches the Rfam family "Bacterial small subunit ribosomal RNA", at positions 524 to 776 of the family's 1533-position model. The record is from RNAcentral.